This 1618-nucleotide unclassified non-coding RNA is filed under the name Avena murphyi. RNAcentral's name for it is "partial external transcribed spacer". The record is from RNAcentral. Lineage: Eukaryota; Viridiplantae; Streptophyta; Magnoliopsida; Poales; Poaceae.
UCGGUGUUUACAUGUUCGAGCCCGUCCCUUCAUAGAAAGCUCUUCGGAUCAGAAAGUGUCAUAGAACAGUGUGCUGCCUUCUCUCCACAGUUUGUGGUAGGAUACGCAACACGCUGAACAAGGAUGCUAGUAGGGGAUGGAGAGCGUAGCCCCGAGUCCCUUCAGAGAAAGCUCUUCGGAUCAGAAAGUGUCGUAGAAUGGUGCGUUGCCUUCUCUCCAUAGUCUGUGGUAGGAGACACAACACGCUGAACCGAUGCUCGUAUGGGAAGGAGAGCGUAGCCCCGAGUCCCUUCAGAGAAAGCUCUCUGAAUCAGCAAGUGUUGUAGAACGGGGUGUUGCCUUCUCUCCACAGUCUGUGGUAGGACACGCAACAUGCUGGACCGAUGCUAGUAGGGGCAGGAGAGCGUAGCCUCGAGUCCCUUUAGAGAAAGGUCUCCGGAUCAGAAAGUGUCGUAGAACAGGGUGUUGCCUUCUCUCCAUAGUCUGUGAUAGGAUACGCAACACGCUAGACCGAUGCUAGUAGGGGAAGGAGAGCGUAGCCCCGAGUCCCUUCAAAGAAAGCUCUCCAGAUCAGAAAGUGUCGUAGAACGGGUUGUUUCCUUCUUUCCACAGUCUAUGGUAGGAUACGCAACACAGUGGACAAUGCUAGUAGGGGCAGGAGAGCGUAUCCCCGAGUCCCUUUAGAGAAAGCUCUCCGGAUCAGAAAGUGUCGUAGAACAGGGUGUUGCCUUCUCCCCACAGUCUGUGGUAGGAUACGCAACAUGCUGGACCGCGAUGCUAGUAGGGGAAGGAGAGCGUAGCCCCAAGUCCCUUCAGAGAAAUCUCUUCCGAUCAGAAAGUGUCAUAGAACGGUGUGCUGCCUUCUCUCCAUAGUCUGUGGUAGGAUACACAACACGCUGGACCGUGAUGCUAGUAGGGGAAGGAGAGCGUAGCCCCUGUGAUGGUAAUUGUUGCCAAUGUAACACCCGCGCGCUGUGGACACUCAGGACGCCUUCGUGCAAGCGAUUCUCCCAUGGUAUGCGUGGGAGGAGGCUUGGUAGGCUAGACUGAUGUGGCUACACGAGCGCAUGAGUAGCUUUGGACCCAUGUCUGUUAGUAAAUCCCCCGUCCUCGUGCGGCCGCUACCAACGCCGUGUCUCAUCAUUCGUGUGGCUUAUGUUAUUGUUGCCUUUCAAGUGCUUGCGUGCAUGUACCCGACCUACGGGAAGUGGUGCUUCGUACAUGUUUGCCUCACGGCGGACACCUUCGGGUGUACCGCUGUGACCUAAUGGCGCUUGCGGCGUUUCCUCAUGGUGCUGGCAUGUUUUGUGCUCGGUGCUAUCAAGGAAGCCUCGCUAUCGCUGUUGGUUUUGGAUGCUGCUCACGAUAAAGGCUCAUGGCCCUUUUGGUGCCUAGAACCGACACAGAAGCUAUCUGGAUUAGAGCGUGUCGUAGAACGUGUCGUAGAACGGGUUGUUGCCUCUACCUCUCCACAGUUAGUGGUAGGAUACGCAACAGGCUGGACCGAUGCUAGUAGGAGAAGGAAAUCUUAGCCCGCUCAAUUUUGACAACCGGCUCGGCCGUUGUCUGCAUGCAAGGGCGGAUUGCUACCGAUGUUGGAAGUCAAAGAGGACGUGCU